This 253-nucleotide ribosomal RNA is filed under the name uncultured bacterium. RNAcentral's name for it is "partial 16S ribosomal RNA". It matches the Rfam family "Bacterial small subunit ribosomal RNA", at positions 524 to 776 of the family's 1533-position model. The record is from RNAcentral.
UACGUAGGGUCCGAGCGUUGUCCGGAAUUAUUGGGCGUAAAGGGCUCGUAGGCGGUCUGUUGCGUCGGGAGUGAAAACUUACAGCUUAACUGUGAGCGUGCUUCCGAUACGGGCAGACUUGAGGUAUUCAGGGGAGAACGGAAUUCCUGGUGUAGCGGUGAAAUGCGCAGAUAUCAGGAGGAACACCGGUGGCGAAGGCGGUUCUCUAGGAAUAUCCUGACGCUGAGGAGCGAAAGUGUGGGGAGCGAACAGG